Molecule: ribosomal RNA, 253 nt
Filed under: uncultured bacterium
Lineage: Bacteria
Description: partial 16S ribosomal RNA
Rfam family: Bacterial small subunit ribosomal RNA
Source: RNAcentral
UACAGAGGUCUCAAGCGUUGUUCGGAUUCAUUGGGCGUAAAGGGUGCGUAGGCGGCGCGGUAAGUCGGGUGUGAAAUCUCGGGGCUUAACUCCGAAACUGCAUUCGAUACUGCCGUGCUUGAGGACUGGAGAGGAGACUGGAAUUUACGGUGUAGCGGUGAAAUGCGUAGAUAUCGUAAGGAAGACCAGUGGCGAAGGCGAGUCUCUGGACAGUUGCUGACACUGAGGCACGAAGGCCAGGGGAGCAAACGGG